RNAcentral lists this ribosomal RNA (802 nucleotides) under Ruegeria sp. RNAcentral describes it as "bacterial SSU rRNA". It matches the Rfam family "Bacterial small subunit ribosomal RNA", at positions 9 to 860 of the family's 1533-position model. Lineage: Bacteria; Pseudomonadati; Pseudomonadota; Alphaproteobacteria; Rhodobacterales; Roseobacteraceae. The record is from RNAcentral.
UUGUUUGAUCCUGGCUCAGAACGAACGCUGGCGGCAGGCCUAACACAUGCAAGUCGAGCGCCUCUUCGGGGGAGCGGCGGACGGGUUAGUAACGCGUGGGAAUAUACCCUUUGGUACGGAAUAGCCUCUGGAAACGGAGAGUAAUACCGUAUGAGCCCUUCGGGGGAAAGAUUUAUCGCCAAAGGAUUAGCCCGCGUUAGAUUAGGUAGUUGGUGGGGUAAUGGCCUACCAAGCCUACGAUCUAUAGCUGGUUUUAGAGGAUGAUCAGCAACACUGGGACUGAGACACGGCCCAGACUCCUACGGGAGGCAGCAGUGGGGAAUCUUGGACAAUGGGGGCAACCCUGAUCCAGCCAUGCCGCGUGAGUGAUGAAGGCCUUAGGGUCGUAAAGCUCUUUCGCCUGUGAAGAUAAUGACGGUAGCAGGUAAAGAAACCCCGGCUAACUCCGUGCCAGCAGCCGCGGUAAUACGGAGGGGGUUAGCGUUGUUCGGAAUUACUGGGCGUAAAGCGCACGUAGGCGGACUGGAAAGUUGGGGGUGAAAUCCCAGGGCUCAACCCUGGAACUGCCUCCAAAACUAUCAGUCUAGAGUUCGAGAGAGGUGAGUGGAAUUCCGAGUGUAGAGGUGAAAUUCGUAGAUAUUCGGAGGAACACCAGUGGCGAAGGCGGCUCACUGGCUCGAUACUGACGCUGAGGUGCGAAAGUGUGGGGAGCAAACAGGAUUAGAUACCCUGGUAGUCCACACCGUAAACGAUGAAUGCCAGUCGUCGGGUAGCAUGCUAUUCGGUGACACACCUAACGGAU